AACGAACGCUGGCGGCAUGCCUAACACAUGCAAGUCGAACGAGACCUCCGGGUCUAGUGGCGCACGGGUGCGUAACGCGGGGGAACCUGCCCUUAGGUUCGGAAUAACUCCCCGAAAGGGGUCCUAAUACCGGAUAAUGUCUUCGGACCAAAGAUUUAUCGCCUUUGGAUGGGCCCUCGUUGGAUUAGCUAGUUGGUAGGGUAAAAGCCUAGCAAGGCGACGAUCCAUAGCUGGUCUGAGAGGAUGAUCAGCCACACUGGCAAUGAGACACGGCCCAGACUCGUACGGGAGGCAGCAGUAGGGAAUAUUGGACAAUGGGCGAUGACGUGGUAAAGCAAUGCCGCGUGAGUGAUGAAGGGCUUAGGGUUGUAAAGCCCUUUUAGACGGGAUGAUAAUGACAGUAACGGGAGAAUAAGCACCGGCUAACUCCGUG
RNAcentral lists this ribosomal RNA (433 nucleotides) under uncultured bacterium. RNAcentral describes it as "partial 16S ribosomal RNA". It matches the Rfam family "Bacterial small subunit ribosomal RNA", at positions 29 to 507 of the family's 1533-position model. The record is from RNAcentral.